Non-coding RNA from Vicia faba (fava bean), 279 nucleotides. NCBI's taxonomy places the organism in Eukaryota, Viridiplantae, Streptophyta, Magnoliopsida, Fabales, Fabaceae. The record is from the annotation of a GenBank genome assembly.
AUGCGCCUUCAUCAGACAAGAUCCAAUUUCUUCAAAAUUGGAAUCGGCGAGUCAAGGUUUUGUCAUAAGAUGCAACUUACAUUCUUCAAUCAUCCUGCUGUUUGGAUCACAAUUUUUGAUCCCGGUGGAGCUUCAACAUUAGAUGAUGGAGCUUUUUUCGCGCAUUUGUUUUCAGAUCGAUCUAAAGAGGAUUCACAUUUCCGCCCCCAUUACUGUACUUGUGCUGCCAUUCAUGAUUUAAUUGCAGAAUUGAGGUUCCUUAAUGGAUUCACGAAGUAA